This 385-nucleotide unclassified non-coding RNA is filed under the name soil metagenome. Its description in RNAcentral is "partial contains 5.8S ribosomal RNA, internal transcribed spacer 2, and large subunit ribosomal RNA". The stretch from base 1 to 118 matches the Rfam family "5.8S ribosomal RNA", at positions 37 to 154 of the family's 154-position model. The record is from RNAcentral.
UGAAGAACGUAGUGAAAUGCGAUAAGUAAUGUGAAUUGCAGAAUUCAGUGAAUCAUCGAAUCUUUGAACGCACCUUGCGCUCCUUGGUAUUCCGAGGAGCAUGCCUGUUUGAGUGUCAUGAAAUUCUCAACCUUUUCAGCUUUCUUUGUUGAUCAGGCUUGGAUGUGGGAGUAUGCGGGCUUCUCAGAAGUCGGCUCUCCUGAAAUGCAUUAGCGGGACCUUUGUUGCCUGGCUUUGGUGUGAUAAUUAUCUACGCCAUUGUAGUCAAGCAGCUUAAAAUGAGGUUUCAGCUUCUAACCGUCUCCCCUGAGACAACUUUUUGACAAUUUGACCUCAAAUCAGGUAGGACUACCCGCUGAACUUAAGCAUAUCAAUAAGCGGAGGA